Molecule: long non-coding RNA, 466 nt
Organism: Pistacia vera
Lineage: Eukaryota; Viridiplantae; Streptophyta; Magnoliopsida; Sapindales; Anacardiaceae
Exons: 2
Source: RefSeq, a predicted model, not a curated record
AGCAUAAUUGUUAGCAGCUUGGAUUGGUAAAAAAUCAGACCAAAUCUACCAUGGCUUGUAGAUGCGGGAGGCUGUGUCCUACUUGAUGCUUUUAUUUUAAUCCAAUUCAUCUACUUCCAUUGUCGGUCAUCUCGAGAUGUAGGUUAUAAGCACGGAAACUCUAAUUCAGCUUAGCAGAUGAUGACAAAAAAAUAAUUCAAGGUAUCUCCAACUGUUUAUGCAUGUGUGUGCAUGAAACCAUGUCUGUAUGGUCUUAGGCCGAUAAUUGUUCAUUGUAGCCUUGAUUUUCUUAUUUCCAUUUUUUGUUUGGAAGAAGGGUACACUUAAAGUGAUAAUACUUACUUAGAUAUGAUACUGCUCCAUCAUGUGGUAUUAAAGCUUUGACAUCAACCAUAACAGUGGAAACACAAAAACUCUUGUUACUGAAGGUAUAGGCAACCCAAGACGGUGGGUCAAUUGGGUUUCA